AGACGUUAGGUCACCAGAUCGAGCCGCAUGGACAACACGGCGCCCAAGACUAGGGCGCCAAAGAGUAGGGCUGCCACUCAGGGCCAUUUCAGGGGUGGGCUUCAUGCUGGGGCUUCGUCUG
This 121-nucleotide microRNA precursor is filed under the name Chlamydomonas reinhardtii. Lineage: Eukaryota; Viridiplantae; Chlorophyta; Chlorophyceae; Chlamydomonadales; Chlamydomonadaceae. The record is from RNAcentral.